UCCGAAUGAGCGCAGGGGUUAGCAUAACUCGCUUUGACCGAGUAGCCCCGGUUCGACUCCCGGAUUCGGAA
This is a non-coding RNA of Monilinia vaccinii-corymbosi, 71 nucleotides long. NCBI's taxonomy places the organism in Eukaryota, Fungi, Ascomycota, Leotiomycetes, Helotiales, Sclerotiniaceae. The record is from the annotation of a GenBank genome assembly.